CGCGUAGGCGGCUAGGCAAGUCGGAGGUGAAAUCCCUCGGCUCAACCGAGGAACUGCCUCCGAUACUGCUUGGCUUGAGUCCCGGAGAGGGUGGUGGAAUUCCCAGUGUAGCGGUGAAAUGCGUAGAUACUGGGAGGAACACCGGUGGCGAAGGCGGCUACCUGGACGGGAACUGACGCUGAGGCGCGAAAGCGUGGGGAGCAAACA
Molecule: ribosomal RNA, 207 nt
Filed under: uncultured bacterium
Lineage: Bacteria
Description: partial 16S ribosomal RNA
Rfam family: Bacterial small subunit ribosomal RNA
Source: RNAcentral